UCCUUGAUGGUCUAGUGGUCAGGAUUCGGCGCUCUCACCGCUGCGACCCGGGUUCGAUUCCCGGUCAGGGAA
RNAcentral lists this transfer RNA (72 nucleotides) under Danionella translucida. It matches the Rfam family "tRNA". Rfam says of the family: Transfer RNA (tRNA) molecules are approximately 80 nucleotides in length. Their secondary structure includes four short double-helical elements and three loops (D, anti-codon, and T loops). The record is from Rfam by way of RNAcentral. Lineage: Eukaryota; Metazoa; Chordata; Actinopteri; Cypriniformes; Danionidae. RNAcentral also lists the same sequence under 1 other name.